This 160-nucleotide ribosomal RNA is filed under the name Rozella sp. RNAcentral's name for it is "partial small subunit ribosomal RNA". It matches the Rfam family "Eukaryotic small subunit ribosomal RNA", at positions 1385 to 1544 of the family's 1831-position model. The record is from RNAcentral. Lineage: Eukaryota; Fungi; Rozellomycota.
CACGAACUGUGGUUCGUGGCGACUUCUUAGAGGGACUGUCAGUGUUUAACUGACGGAAGUUUGAGGCAAUAACAGGUCUGUGAUGCCCUUAGAUGUUCUGGGCUGCACGCGCGCUACACUGAUGAAACCAGCGAGUCUAUAACCUUGGCCGACAGGUCUG